RNAcentral lists this ribosomal RNA (253 nucleotides) under uncultured bacterium. RNAcentral's name for it is "partial 16S ribosomal RNA". It matches the Rfam family "Bacterial small subunit ribosomal RNA", at positions 524 to 776 of the family's 1533-position model. The record is from RNAcentral.
UACGGGGGGGGCAAGCGUUGUUCGGAUUUACUGGGCGUAAAGAGCGCGCAGGCGGUCGUUCAAGUCGCGUGUGAAAGCCCCCGGCUCAACUGGGGAGGGUCACGCGAUACUGAUCGACUCGAAGGCAGGAGAGGGUAGUGGAAUUCCCGGUGUAGUGGUGAAAUGCGUAGAUAUCGGGAGGAACACCAGUGGCGAAGGCGACUACCUGGCCUGUUCUUGACGCUGAGGCGCGAAAGCUAGGGGAGCAAACGGG